RNAcentral lists this ribosomal RNA (429 nucleotides) under uncultured bacterium. RNAcentral's name for it is "bacterial SSU rRNA". It matches the Rfam family "Bacterial small subunit ribosomal RNA", at positions 355 to 775 of the family's 1533-position model. The record is from RNAcentral.
UGGGGAAUAUUGGGCAAUGGGCGCAAGCCUGACCCAGCGACGCCGCGUGGGUGAUGAAGGCCUUCGGGUCGUAAAGCCCUGUCGGGUGGAAAGAACGGUUGCGGGACGAAUAGUCCCGUAACGUGACGGUACCACCGAAGGAAGCACCGGCCAAUUCCGUGCCAGCAGCCGCGGUAAGACGGAAGGUGCAAGCGUUGCUCGGAAUCAUUGGGCGUAAAGGGUGCGUAGGCGGCUCCGUAAGUCUGGUGUGAAAGCCCUGGGCUCAGCCCGGGAAGGGCGCUAGAAACUGGGGAGCUGGAGUGCCGGAGGGGAGAGUGGAAUUCCUGGUGUAGCGGUGAAAUGCGUAGAGAUCAGGAGGAAUACCGGUGGCGAAAGCGACUCUCUGGACGGCAACUGACGCUGAGGCACGAAAGCGUGGGGAGCAAACAG